GCCGGGUGCGGUGGCAUGUGCCUGUAAUCCAAGUCACUGGGAGGCUGAGGUUGGUGGAUCAAGUGAGCUGAGGAGCUCUGGGCUGCAGCACACUAUGUUGAACGGGUGUCCACGCUAAGUUCGGUAUCGAUAUGGUGUUCCAGGGGGAGCCCGGGACCACCAGGUUGUCUAAGGAGGGGUGAACCUGGCCCAGGUCGGAAACGAAGCAUGUCAAAUCCCCCUGUGCUGUACAGUAGGGAUAAUACCUGUGAGUAGAUGCUGCAGUGCAGCCUUGCGAAAACAUCGAGACCAAUCUUUU
RNAcentral lists this signal recognition particle RNA (298 nucleotides) under Oncorhynchus kisutch (coho salmon). RNAcentral's name for it is "Metazoan signal recognition particle RNA (ENSOKIG00005049453.1)". It matches the Rfam family "Metazoan signal recognition particle RNA". Rfam says of the family: The signal recognition particle (SRP) is a universally conserved ribonucleoprotein. It is involved in the co-translational targeting of proteins to membranes. The record is from Rfam by way of RNAcentral. Lineage: Eukaryota; Metazoa; Chordata; Actinopteri; Salmoniformes; Salmonidae.